UUAAAUUGAAGAGUUUGAUCAUGGCUCAGAUUGAACGCUGGCGGCAGGCCUAACACAUGCAAGUCGAACGGUAACAGGAAGCAGCUUGUUGCUUCGCUGACGAGUGGCGGACGGGUGAGUAAUGUCUGGGAAACUGCC
Molecule: ribosomal RNA, 138 nt
Filed under: Salmonella enterica
Lineage: Bacteria; Pseudomonadati; Pseudomonadota; Gammaproteobacteria; Enterobacterales; Enterobacteriaceae
Also listed under: 1 other name
Description: partial 16S ribosomal RNA
Rfam family: Bacterial small subunit ribosomal RNA
Source: RNAcentral